GGGAAGGGGUGGAACAACUACUCUCAGGACAGUUGCUAAAUAUAAUCUGGAGAAGCAAAUAAGCUAAGGGACAUGUUUUGCCUGUGGAAUAAAUCCCUCAGAUAUAGCUGAGUUAGGGCUGUUUUUAUGCCCUGUUGAAAAGCAGCCUGUGAGACUUCUGUUUAUCUUGGCGUUUGUGACAGAGGAUAGCUAGAUACUUCUACUUGAUGUGACAUACAGCAGUCUGGGAACUGUUUUUUUCAUCUUCUGAGGAGAGUGUGCUUUGAAAACAGGUUUAUGGUUUUCCAAUGGUCUUGUGCCAAAAGAAGAGCCCUAUCCUUCCUCAGGUUUUGGAAGAUGAGAAGUGAGGAAUAUGAACUUGAAGAGUGAGCUCGAGCAGGGAGAGGUAUUAGCCUGUGACCCAGAACCAGGCACCUGCCAUCUGCACCCAGCUCAGCAUCAGCACCAAGUGGACACUACUCCCCUGUCCACGCAUGAAGUCAUCAUACUGAAGGACCUAAAACUUCUGGGCAAUCUAUAGGCAAUUGAUAGAGAUGAUGUAAAUGCUCUGUGUGGUUUAGGCUGCACUAUGCCAAUUGCAUUAAUUCAUGGUCUGAUUUUCAGGAUCAGAACUGCGUGUAUCCUUCCAGUAAGGCUGUGCAUGACAACUAAUUCCAGGUUUUGAACCUUUAUCCAGAUGACUAGGGUCAUAAAUACAGAGCAUCAAGUGUCUAAUUCUACUAAAUAUUAAGUUCCUUGAUACACUGCAAAGCUCUUGAAAAUGUUGUCUGUGGGUUUAGCUUAAUAUGUGGUACCUAUCUGAAAAUGCUGGCAAUAUGUUUAUGCUUGAAUUACAUUCUCCUUCAUGAGUUGUGCAAUUUGAGUUGCCUAAGGGUCUUUCUUUCUUUAAUAAACCUGUUUUAUUGAAAUGAAGAUCAUGAAAUAGGAACGGAGGCUCUAAGGAUGUUUAAAAGUGACCUAUUACUUAUGAUAUGAGGUACAUAAACUUUUAUAAAGGUUUUCACUCACACAAGAAUCACUGAUGCCUGCUGUGUGCUAAGUGAAAAAAGUCAGAUGUGGUAUACACUGCAAAAACUGUGCAAAAGAGGCAUUCUAUUCUUUGUUAUUACGAUUUCGCCAUUUAUAAGGAUGCUGAAUACAAAUCAUUAUACAUCUAUGAAUGUCAGAAUAAGUCGAUCUGAGAAAUAAUUAUAAUAAUUUAAUCUUUUGUGACUUUUUUUGAAUAAUCUGUAGAAAACUCAGCUGAAACUGGUUCUCAUAUAUCUCCAUCCAUUUAUCUCCUAAAUCAGAAAUAUAUCCUCAACAUAUGAAUUAGUUAUUAACUGGUAAUAAAAAUGUAGAAAUCUACAUUAGGAUCAAUUAGUGCUUUCUUGAAUACUCUGCAUAUGUGUAGAGACAAUUGAAGUAUGCAAGAAUAUCCACUUCCGUUUCCUCUUUAACAUGAGAGUAAGGAUAUAUGAAGGACACUGAAUCUGAAAUAUGUUAAAGGCAGUGCAUUUCCAUACUGUCCUCUGAAAUCAGUGCCAGUCAUUCCCUAUUAUUAAAGCCAAGAAUUUCAGAGGAUUACAAAGGGACAGGCUUGUACCUAGGUAAAAUAUUCAGAGUUCUCAAAGGAUUGAAGCUCUCAUGCUCUUUGGUGUGCACCAACUUUUAACUACUGAGAGUUGAGAAGAAACUUUUCCUGCCCUCUGAGCAGAUUUUGCCGUAAUUGCAAGGUCUCUGGCCUUCCAGAGCAGGUGGCCCCUGCCCCUGCUGCAUGAUCAUACAGCUGUUGAUUCUGCUGUUCUACAGUUUUGUCAUCCCAGGAAAAGAAAUGCUUUGCUUGAUGAGCUUCAGCCUUUUAGAACCUCAUGUAUAAAAAUGCUUGGCUAUAAUAUGCUGUUCCUUACUACAGGAAUUACAGAGGCAAAUAAUCAGCUGGAGCUCUAACGAGGUAUUUGCAUGUAUAAUUAGAUUACUUGUAUGCACAGUUUUAUUCACAGCUUGAACCUGAGCCUGACAACUACGAAGCACCAGGUAAUGCCUUUUGGGUUGAAUUCCACAGGAUUGCUAUCAGCCCUUCUGUGUUCUAGAGAUAAGAUCAAACUGCACAUCAAUCUUUCAGGGAAGAUCAAUACAGAGAGAAAGCUGUGUUCAAGCUGACUUCCAGCUACAUCCCAGUAUCUGGUGCUUUCCUCUGAUGGGGUCUGGGAGGCUCCUAAAUCAGAUACAUCAAUUAAACCUUCGAAUUCUCAGACGUGCCUGUAUUCUCCUCUGACUAAGCCCAGGGGUUAAAGUGGACAUUAAACCAUCUGACAGAGGUUUUUUAAAAUGUAACCUUAAUUGUAAUGCCCUGAUAUAGGCUGAACAUAUGUUCUGGGCACUUUUUCUCCCCAUAAAGGAUUUGCUCUCCUUAGGAAAGCUUCAAUGUAAUGUUCAGUUUUUCCAGUGUACCUUUUGUGAACUGGCCCUUUAUAUCUGGAAACAGCUGCUUUGAAAGCAGAUACAGUGUCAGCUCAACUUAUUUAUUUUAGCCAUUCUUUCUUCUUGCUUCCCAUCACUUUUUCCUUCUGGUUUCUUAAGAAAUGAGUAACGUUAGCUCAAAGAUGUCAUGCAGCCUACAGCACUGAAUGUUAACUGGAUGGAAAAGAAAUCUUGGUUUUCUUCCAGUGCUUCUGCUUGUUGUGAGUCACUUUGCUUCCUCUUCCCUUGAUCUCUAGCAGUGAAAAA
Coturnix japonica (Japanese quail) is the source of this 2709-nucleotide non-coding RNA. The record is from RefSeq and is a predicted model, not a curated record. Lineage: Eukaryota; Metazoa; Chordata; Aves; Galliformes; Phasianidae.